UCCAGGUCUUCCACCACUACCACCACUUCCGAUGAUCCAAAUCCCGGGGCUUCCACCAUUGCCAACAAUUUCAACUAUCCAAAUUCCAGGUCUGCCAUCCUUGCCACAGCUACCGUCAAUUGUUGUCGGUCAAGGAUCACCAGCAGGACCAGUUCCACCGUUGAUGCCUUCUCCUAGUGUCGCUCCUCCAUCAUCUCCUGGUGCCUCACCCUAAUUUAUGGCAAGUUCAAGCUGGAUGCUGAUUAGGAGCCAUCAAGAUGAAGAUUAGGAUUUUGACCCCACAUAUAUACUCUAGUACAUGAGUAAAUGCUGCCUAGUUUUGUGUUAGUUUUACUCAUCAGGACAUUCUAAAUUAGCGUGGUGAUUAGGUCUAGCAUGGUAAUUAGGUCUAGAGAUAUAUUAUAUAUGCAAAGUUUUAUUAUUUUUCUACAUAGUCGGCUUGGUUACAAUAUUGUACACUAUAUACUUGGAUGUGAUUAUUACUCACUCUCUCAUUGAAAGAAUAUUUUAU
Long non-coding RNA from Oryza brachyantha (malo sina), 511 nucleotides. RefSeq lists it as uncharacterized. The transcript is spliced from 3 exons. NCBI's taxonomy places the organism in Eukaryota, Viridiplantae, Streptophyta, Magnoliopsida, Poales, Poaceae. The record is from RefSeq and is a predicted model, not a curated record.